This 934-nucleotide ribosomal RNA is filed under the name Sediminibacillus sp. RNAcentral's name for it is "bacterial SSU rRNA". It matches the Rfam family "Bacterial small subunit ribosomal RNA", at positions 34 to 940 of the family's 1533-position model. The record is from RNAcentral. Lineage: Bacteria; Bacillati; Bacillota; Bacilli; Caryophanales; Bacillaceae.
UGCCGUGCGGCGUGCUAUACAUGCAGUCGAGCGCGGGAAGCAGGCAGAUCCCUUCGGGGUGAAGCCUGUGGAACGAGCGGCGGACGGGUGAGUAACACGUGGGCAACCUGCCUGUAAGAUCGGGAUAACUCCGGGAAACCGGGGCUAAUACCGGGUAAUCCCUUCCUCCGCAUGGAGGAAGGUUGAAAGGCGGCCUUUUGGCUGUCACUUACAGAUGGGCCCGCGGCGCAUUAGCUAGUUGGUAGGGUAAUGGCCUACCAAGGCAACGAUGCGUAGCCGACCUGAGAGGGUGAUCGGCCACACUGGGACUGAGACACGGCCCAGACUCCUACGGGAGGCAGCAGUAGGGAAUCUUCCGCAAUGGACGAAAGUCUGACGGAGCAACGCCGCGUGAACGAUGAAGGUCUUCGGAUCGUAAAGUUCUGUUGUCAGGGAAGAACAAGUACCGUUUGAACAAGGCGGUACCUUGACGGUACCUGACGAGGAAGCCCCGGCUAACUACGUGCCAGCAGCCGCGGUAAUACGUAGGGGGCAAGCGUUGUCCGGAAUUAUUGGGCGUAAAGCGCGCGCAGGCGGUUCCUUAAGUCUGAUGUGAAAGCCCACGGCUUAACCGUGGAGGGUCAUUGGAAACUGGGGAACUUGAGUACAGAAGAGGAGAGCGGAAUUCCACGUGUAGCGGUGAAAUGCGUAGAUAUGUGGAGGAACACCAGUGGCGAAAGCGGCUCUCUGGUCUGUAACUGACGCUGAGGCGCGAAAGCGUGGGGAGCGAACAGGAUUAGAUACCCUGGUAGUCCACGCCGUAAACGAUGAGUGCUAGUGUUAGGGGGUUUCCGCCCCUUAGUGCUGAAGUUAACGCAUUAAGCACUCCGCCUGGGGAGUACGCCGCAAGGCUGAAACUCAAAGAAUUGACGGGGCCCGCACAAGCGUGGAGCAU